GCUUUUGGUUCAAUGGUAGAAUGCUCGCCUGCCACGCGGGCGCCCCGGGUUCUAUUCCCGGCCGAACCA
Molecule: transfer RNA, 69 nt
Filed under: Cordylochernes scorpioides
Lineage: Eukaryota; Metazoa; Arthropoda; Arachnida; Pseudoscorpiones; Chernetidae
Description: tRNA-Gly
Rfam family: tRNA (bases 6-61)
About the family: Transfer RNA (tRNA) molecules are approximately 80 nucleotides in length. Their secondary structure includes four short double-helical elements and three loops (D, anti-codon, and T loops).
Source: RNAcentral